UAAUAGUGUCGUUAGAAGAUAAUACCCACCUCCCUACGAAAUAGGAGGGUGGUUAUUUGACUAAGUCUUGGCCCUAUCUUUUACUCUUGGACUUGAAAGGACAUUUGGACUAGAAGAAGAUAAACUCGAUCCUUGGAAGCCGGGAGAAGAUAACAAUAGCUAGAACCACUUCCUCAAAUUUCGCUGCUUAUCAUCGCACCACGCAUCCUAUGUCGCGUCUAGCCUUAAUUUUUUGACCAUAACAAUUUGCCCCCAUUUGUUAUCUUGGAUUGUGGGCAAUUUUCAAGAGAACAAAUACUUAGCCAACUUCCCCCACUAUUACAAUUAAAACUAACAUAACUUUCUCCCCUAACCUGCAUAAAUACUCGUGCAACUUUCCCUAAUUUUCUCAAACCUUCUCACAUUUUCUCAAUUCUCUCUCCAAGGGUUUCAAGUCGAACUAUGUGACUUUCGCCGAAGCUCAAGCUUGCGAUUCCGAGCAACUCUGUCAGAUAGAGAAUCCUUGAGUGAAGAUGCGAACUGUAUCCGGUGUGGCUGGCGCGACAGAGAGCUCAAUCUUGCUAUCGUGACUCCAUGGAGGAAGAGUUUGCGUAAAGUGGAGGCUUUCUUAAGUAUUGUAAAGAAGGAUCGGACUUUCAUACAUCCUGUUGUUGCUGACAAUUCUGGUGCUGCUGUAGUAGAGGAGGAAGAAGAACAAGAAGAUAGUGAUCACGACAUGGCUUCAGGUAGUCAGUCUGGAGUGUACAAGAAAAGCGUGAUGUCCUUUGCUAAAAUGGUGGAGAGGGCUUCCAAGAAGAGGAAGCAAACUCCUUCUGCUAAAGAUGAUGUUAAAUUUUUGGAUGCCAAACUACUCCAGAUUCGCAAGUCGCCUCUCUCUAAGGAGAUUUUAUAACACCCUAGAAAUUUCUUUCCUUUAAAAUACCUAUCUGCCCCUUUUUAAAAUACGA
Molecule: long non-coding RNA, 947 nt
Organism: Chenopodium quinoa (quinoa)
Lineage: Eukaryota; Viridiplantae; Streptophyta; Magnoliopsida; Caryophyllales; Amaranthaceae
Exons: 4
Source: RefSeq, a predicted model, not a curated record